RNAcentral lists this unclassified non-coding RNA (6546 nucleotides) under Ixodes scapularis (black-legged tick). RNAcentral's name for it is "uncharacterized LOC120847150, transcript variant X2". The record is from RNAcentral. Lineage: Eukaryota; Metazoa; Arthropoda; Arachnida; Ixodida; Ixodidae.
GAAGUUUCUUUCGUAGAUAUUUCCAACAUUAUACAGGGUGAAAAUAAAAACCAUCCGACGCACUCGUCGCGAGAUCCACCGGGAAAAAAACCUCAUUCGCCCUGAGAAUGCAGCACACCUCAAUGACAGGCGUGCUCAGAUUGAACUGUGCUUCGGAGUUUCAAAACCUGUUUUGAAAUUAUAAAACAAAUUUGAAUAUCUUCGCCAACUUCGCCAUAAUCAAUCUUUUCACAACCACAAAGCAUCCAGAUCCAAAUCCAACUUGUGCCAUUGGCAAGAGAAGAAAGCACGAAAGCCUGGAGCGGGGAGGAGGGACGUUCACAUCGCUCCAAGCUACUGACUGGUUCCCUUUCUCCGGUUCGAACACCGUUCUUCAACUGUCAGUGACUAAUAUAUCCGGGUUGUCGUCUUCCCGUCACUCUCCGUAUUCCCGCGUGUGCGAUGUCGCAAUGUGGUGCAAUGAUGGGGCAAUGUGUGCAAGCAAUGUGCGACCGAUGGUGGCCAUGGUUUCCAUGUUGCUUUCGUGCUGGAUUGGUGCUUCGUGUGUUCCCUCGCAUUCGCAUCUGCUACUGUACCGCCCCCCCCCUACUGUGACGUGCUUCUGCAUCUUUCCUGUUUUUUUUUUUGUUUUUCUGUAUGUUUCAUUCCUCUUCUUUCUCUCCCAAUGAGUAUGUACGCUAAAGUCAAAAUUCUUCAAGAUGGCAAGAUGUGCAUAGUCCACAAGGCUGUCGUGAAAAACUUUCACCCAACCAACAUCACUGGCUUUGAGUGGAAGAAGGUUUAUAAAGUCUUUAGGGACGGGGACGGAAACACGCGUUGCGACUACUACGAUGCCGAGAUCAUCAGGCUAACGGGCGAGUCAUACAUCCGGAGUGCGGGUUCAACCCUUUAAAAACUCAGUUUGUGUGGCAAUUAUGCGAAUUGUCACUGUCUUGAGCGAAGGCGUACACAACGGAAGGUACAGGUUUCUAGUUUUGGUUGGUCAAAGGGAAAGCAGGAAACAAUAUUAAGUGCAUGUAAUUUGUGAUACGUUAUUUGACGUUGCAAGAUGUGUUGAACAAGUAUGUUUAUUGUAAUCAUUUGUUAGAGCGUAUACUGUGCAGCGAGCGACAUAGUUGGAAGUGCUCGUCAGUAUUUUUAAUACCGUUCGAAUAUGCAGACUGCCAACUGUCAAAAAUCAGAGGGAAGAUAUAUAAGAUAUUUCAAAUUUAUUGAUUUCUGAUCACAUGUCAUGAAAAGUUACAAGACCGUGGAAAUAUUGUGAAUUAUCCGGGAUUUCGAAUUAACCGAAAUCAAAUUAUUAAGGUUCUACCAGAUGUUUUACUGCAUGUGCCACCACUGAGGGGCUCGCAAAAAGCAUCACGACGCUCCUUGAAUAGAAAAUUUUAAUCAACUAUUAACAUGAUCCUGUUUGCAUUUGUGCUAAUGAACAAACACAGAAACUUUAAACUGUCAUUACUUCAAUUAAUGUGGAAUUGCUUUUCAGUUGCUGAGCAGGACACCCUUGCAAAGAACGAGAUUGCGGAUGUCCCCAUCGGCCUCCAAAAUGAGGAUUGCAUGGAAAUGUUUUCACACUUCCAUGCAAUAUAUGACAUACAUUAAAAGGGUUUAGGAUAGAGUAAGCACAGUAGAUUGAAUCGAUCACUACCAGAAACCAUUAAAACAUUAUUGUAGGCAGGCUCUUACUUGUAAUAAUAGCUGGGGCCUGCAAAACGUUCUAUUCUCAUGCUGUCACCUGAUGCAACUAGGGAUUACAUACCUGUUUGAUACAAAUGCCAUGAAGCUUUAUGGUCCCAUCAGCUUUGCAGACGCCCAUGUACAUAGAAACUCCUAGACAGUGCUGUUUUAAAUUUAAAGGCCUAAAUUUCGUACAUGUAAUUAUUUUAGUGCCUCUUACAUGCAUCUUCUUGGAAAAUACAGUAGAACUCUGAGUCAACUAGACCGGUAUGUGUGAAACUGUUUCUCGCUUUUGUUUAUCCCUUUCCUGCCCUGCCCACACAAACGUGCGGGUUCAAAUAGAAUUUGUUUUACCUUUAUCAAAUCUAGGUGUUCCGACCCAGCCCGCACGUUUGUGUGGGUGCGUGGAAUAAAUUGAAACGAGUAGUCCCCGGUUUGCGCCGCAAGGGGGCUAGUUGGACCUUUUCCAAAAUGGCACUUUCCUCGAGAGACGCAUGCCGGCCGCCUUUGAAAACUAAGUGCAUCAUUUUGCUUUCUUUUCUUGUGCAUUUUCAGAACUAGGAAUUAGAAAGCAAUCCCGAGACCCGCUAAACGGCAUUAGGCGUACAAAUAGCCAUAUCAAUAUCGCACAGAGGUGCCGAGCACGUUCAAAACAGCCACCCGCACAUUUGUGUGGGUUGGGCAUGUAUGACGACAAAAACACCAUUUGACGUCGCCAUGAAAAAAUGCUUGUUACUUAGAUUUAUUUUAUUUUAUUUCUAGGAAUAUUAAAUCCUGAACAUGACGCUGACAUGGAGGAAAUACUCAAGAUUCUCGAGUCGUCUGACAUCGAUUGUGACAGCAGUGAUGGCGACGACCCCGAUUGGCAGCUACAUGCUCCAGAUGCAAACAGCAGUGAUGAUGAAGGAGAAAACGAGGAAGCCACCCCGGUUCCUUCAACGUUAAAAGGGUUCUUUCCCCCGCCUUCAUCGUUAAGUGCGACAUUGAAGAAAAAGACCAGAAACGUUUCAUGGAAAGACCUUCACUGAAAAACUGCAUCAGCUUCCAGCAAGUGAAGAGGACCAUGAGCCCCCUACUGUCGGCACACCGUCGAGCUACUUUGUGCGACAUUUCGACGACGAGUUCUUCGAGAAUGCUGCUGAGAAGACAAGUAUGUACCACAUGUCUCGGACAGGAAAGGUUCUGAAGGUGACUUCACACAAGAUCAAGCAACUGUUUGGCAUGCACAUUAUAAUGGGUUGUCUCCGCUUUCCGCACAUACACAUGUACUGGCGAAGGGGGCUUCAGCUCGAGCUGGUGAGCAGUGUCAUGGUGUCAUGGCACGUGAAGAGUUCAAGAUGCUAAGAACAUGCCUCCACUUCGUUGACACGGAGAGGCCACCCGCAGAACCAGACGAGAACAGACUGUGGAAAGUGCAGCCAAUAAUUGAUGCUGUCAGAAAAUGUUGCCAUAAGCUGGAGAGGAAACCUGUUUCCUACUCCAUUGAUGAACAGAUGAUACCUUUCACGGGAAGGUCCUCUCUGCGACAGUUCGUCAAAGGGAAACCACGGCCAGUGGGACUCAAAAAUUUUGUUGCGACCAUUUCCAAAGGCCUGGUGAUGGACUAUGAGAUAUAUCGAGGGAAAUCAACCCCUCUUGCUGACACAGCACUUGGCCUUGGUCCUAAUGUUGUUUGGAGACUUGUGCAAACUCUGCCCGAGAGGUCCCUCAUCUUCUUUGACAGGUACUUCACAACGAUCCCUCUCUUGGAUGAGCUUCUAAAGAGGGGCAUCAAAGGAACAGGAACAAUAAUGGCAAAUCAAAUUAAGAACAUUCGGUUUCGAAGUGACAACACCAUGAAGCAGAGAGAAUACGCGGGGUACACCCGUGACGAUGGAAAUGUGGUUGUAGUCAAGUGGAAGGACAGCAGAGCCAUGACCCUUGCAUCAACUUCUACUGGAGCCAGUCCUGUUGAACCUGUAAAGCGCUGGUCAAAACAGGAAAAAAAGUACAUCGAUGUACCAGCACCGGCAAUUGUCCGAAGGUACAAUGCGUGCAUGGGGGGCGUCGACAUUUGUGAUCAGCUGUUGGAAUAUUACAGGAUCGCUAUCAAGACAAGGAAAUGGACUUUAAAGGUCAGCCUACACAUGAUCGACCUCUCUCUUGCCAACUGUUGGAUGGAAUACAGUGACGCCUGCAGGGCAAAUGCUGUGCCACAGCGAGACACUAUGGACCUUCUCGACUUCCGCCUGGCAGUCGCUGAAGCUCUCUGCUCAAAACCCAAAAGAAAAAGAAGUGAAGCCGCGGAAGAGGUCGAUGACUCAAAUGGCCAGAUUCAGCAGCCUUACAAGGUGGCAAAGCUCCCCGGUGAAGAUAAGCGGCUAGAUUCCUUUGACCACUGGCCCACCGUGGAUGCCCUGAAGACCCCCCGAAUAUGCAGGUUGUCGGGAUGCAACUCACGGUCAAGGACGCAUUGCGAAAAAUGCAAUGUUUACCUUUGCCUGACAAGCGAUAGGAACUGCUUCAAGUUAUUUCAUACUUCCCUGUGAGGCAAAUGUGUCUCUGAGGCAAUGUUUUCCUUGGCAUAUAUUUGUUUACAGUUCGUGAGAUUCAUAGCAAUUGAAGCCCGACCCACACAUUUCUGUGGGUCCGUUUUGAAAAUGAAAGUAAAUUUUCUUUUUUAUCUUUCAGAUAUAUUAUAAGAGGCGUUCAGUGGUCUGAAAAUCCACAAAAGAUUUCAUAUUUGUGGUCAACGUUUUUACCGGGCAGGGAAGGGUUAUAGCAGAUCCAUGUGGGGCAAGCUGUGUAUAUCAACCAGGAAUCCUGGGGCAACAUGCGGAAAGCGGAGUGCGACUCCAUGUUUUGCAAAAUCAAGGCUUCUUCCAUAUGGCUACUUGAAGUGCUUUUGGAGAGGUCGGUGACCAACACCCUCUCCAACCAGGCAAAGAUGGCGGGGCAAGAAAAGGCGUUUGCACCACUCACUCCACAAAAGGUGCUGGCCCUCUCGGGUUCUCCUCGUUGAUCCGCACUCUUUCUUUCCUGUUAAUAUGACCCUGAGCUUCGAGAAUGGCCUCUCAACGCUAACACUGGACACUGGCAGGCUGAGGAGAUGAAGCGCUGCCCGAGUCAAAAUCGGCCAAUCAACAUAUUGUGACUGCCGAAAGAGGCACGGUGCGACGUUUUGAAGCACAACACAACAUGCAGAGCUCGCAUCAAGUCUCAAAUCUCUCUGGACAAUGUAUCAUUUCGAGUUGUCAAGGAAACAGUCAAAGUCUGCAUGUUCGGAAUGUAAUACUACAAAAAGACUUGGGAGAAAUAAAAAAAACAGGUAUGUUACAUGGUAAUGCACUUGCAAACGUUUCAAUCUCAUGCACCGAUCCAGCAGCCUCCCAAAGAUUGUGUGCAGUGAGUGUAAAGAGGAUACUUUGUGACAACUGUUUUUAUACUUAUUUUUCCUUAUGUAAUGCCCCUUAGGGUAUUCCCAAUAAAUGAAUGGAUUUAGGAAAAGCCCAAGAGCAUUAUGCAGAUGAUAUCAGCUUUUCCUUUUGCCAGUAACUGCACAGUGCAGACAACUUUGUUGUGAUAUAAGAUGGGGGCACAUUAGACUCGGUUGAUGUGUGCUAAUUUUAAGUAAUAAUUCCUACUUUCUAGGUGGACGUGCCCCAAACAUACGGCCAAUAAAAAAGGGUCAGCUGAAAACAGACAAGGCCAAGCAGCUGCAGGAGGCACUUGAUGCAGAGCAGCAGACUGGUCAAAGAGAGAAGAGAAGAGCGUACAAUAGAAUUGCCAACUGCAAUUCCCAUCGUAACCAUGGUUUCGAGGACAUAAAGCUUUUAGCCUAAACACGGAGAGGGACAUUACUGAGAGAAAACAAAUGUUGGCAAGGGAAGGACUUACAUCUGUAUCAGAUGUAAAAACAGCCAGCACUAUUAUGUGCAUGACAUACUUUUUUUAAGCAAGUGAAAACCUGAUGGCAGCUGCAGGGCCUUUUACCAGACACAUUGUGAUAUCAUUAACAAGAUCCAAGCUGUUUUUAAGAAAGACUGCUUCAGCACGGUUGAUCAAGAGAAUAGUAGCAUUCUAAUUGAAAAGAUCAGGAGCCCCAAUGCUUCAUUGUCUAUUGGCUGUAUGCGGCAUGCAGCUGCGUGGGUAGCAGCGACUCGGACGGCGUGGAAGACAGUGCUGCCAGUGAGUGUGAGGACACGUUGCUCUUCUACUUCCAGACAAAAUUCAUGAGAAACAUGUUGAGAAACUAUAGAGGCUCAGUAGGUUGUGUACACAAAGCUGGUGAACAUGCCCUACCACCUUCCUUGCUUGCUGUGAAAAUGCCAUCAGGAUACACACAAGCUGGUAUGUUUAUUGUGCAGUUCGAUACAGCCCACUGUAUCACCGAGGCUUUAGACGUUUUCAAGCAGUGGUGUAAUAACUGGUCACCACAGCACUGGAUGGAAGAUUACAGCAAAACAAAAAUAGCUGCCUUCCAGCAAGUGCUUCCAGAGAGUAAAAUCUCCAUCUGCGACUUCCAUAAAAAACAGGCAUGGCAAAGGUGGCUGGGCAGACAGGAAAACAGCAUGUCCGAUCUGGAUGAGGCUCCGAACCUUAUAAAACACUUAGCGAGUGCUUCAAAUCCCAAUGACUUCUACAAGGCGUUCAAAGUCCUUGUUGCCUAAGAGUGUUGAGAAAAUGAAAACUUCCGCAUUUACUUUGAAGUAGCGUGGCCCUCUGUAAAAGAGCUGUGGGCCAUGUCUUACAGGCUGUUAUUGGAUGCUGUCUUGACCACAAAUGAUAGCACAGAGCAGGGGUGGCCAAACCGCGGCUCGCGAACCGCAUGCGGCUCUUUGCUGGUCUAAGUGCGGCUUGCGGAUCCCUCGUAAGGGGACACCCCCCCCC